CCUACGGGUGGCAGCAGUGGGGAAUAUUGCUCAAUGGGGGAAACCCUGAUGCAGCGACGCCGCGUGAGUGAAGAAGUCAUUCGUUGUGGUAAGCUCUAUCAGCAGGGGAGCAAAUGACGGUACCUGAGUAAGAAGCCCCGGGUAACUACGUGCAAGCAGCGGCGGGAAUGCGUAGGGGGCAAGCGUUAUCCGGAUUUACUGGGUGUUAAGGGGGCGUAGACGGGAGUGCAAGUCUGGAGGGAAAGGCGGGGGCUCAACCCCCGGACUGCUCUGGAAACUGUACGUCUGGAGUGGAGGAGAGGUAAGCGGAAUGCGUGGUGUAGCGGUGAAAUGCGUAGAUAUUACGAGGAACACCAGUUGCGAAGGCGGCUUACCGG
RNAcentral lists this ribosomal RNA (377 nucleotides) under uncultured bacterium. Its description in RNAcentral is "partial 16S ribosomal RNA". It matches the Rfam family "Bacterial small subunit ribosomal RNA", at positions 338 to 732 of the family's 1533-position model. The record is from RNAcentral.